This 364-nucleotide long non-coding RNA is filed under the name Mus pahari (shrew mouse). Its description in RNAcentral is "lncRNA (MGP_PahariEiJ_G0012468.1)". The record is from RNAcentral. Lineage: Eukaryota; Metazoa; Chordata; Mammalia; Rodentia; Muridae.
UCUAUUGAAAUCAGGAAGUCUUUUGAGUUCACUUACUGGAAGGUCUUUCUUUAGAUGAGACAUCUGUGAGCACUCCUCUUCUUAGGAUGUCAGCUCAUUUCAACGGGAGAGUUAGUUUAGUUAGAUUUAUUCAUCUUUUUGGCUUUUAGAAACUAAGGCUAGCCUUGAACUUGUGAUCGAUCAUCCUGCCUCACAAAUGCAGGAAUUACAGGCAUGUACUACCAUACCAAGCAACACUUUUGGAUUUAAUAAGAUUCAAAUGCUAGGUGUAGAGAAUAAUUUUUCCUCAAGUUCAACGCAUCUCAAAGAAGAUAUGGAUAGACUGUUUGAUGAGAUCGUGCUGCAGGUGUAUCCCAGCAAUCUA